RNAcentral lists this ribosomal RNA (328 nucleotides) under uncultured bacterium. RNAcentral's name for it is "bacterial SSU rRNA". It matches the Rfam family "Bacterial small subunit ribosomal RNA", at positions 8 to 334 of the family's 1533-position model. The record is from RNAcentral.
AGGGUUUGAUUCUGGCUCAGAUUGAACGCUGGCGGCAGGCCUAACACAUGCAAGUCGAACGGUAGCACAGAGAGCUUGCUCUUGGGUGACGAGUGGCGGACGGGUGAGUAAUGUCUGGGAAACUGCCCGAUGGAGGGGGAUAACUACUGGAAACGGUAGCUAAUACCGCAUAACGUCGCAAGACCAAAGUGGGGGACCUUCGGGCCUCACACCAUCGGAUGUGCCCAGAUGGGAUUAGCUAGUAGGUGGGGUAAUGGCUCACCUAGGCGACGAUCCCUAGCUGGUCUGAGAGGAUGACCAGCCACACUGGAACUGAGACACGGUCCAG